GAGGGUCUAGCUCAGUGGUAGAGCACGUGCUUAGCAUGCACAAGGUCCCAGGUUCAAUCCCCAGUACCUCCA
This 72-nucleotide transfer RNA is filed under the name Camelus bactrianus (Bactrian camel). It matches the Rfam family "tRNA". From Rfam's summary of the family: Transfer RNA (tRNA) molecules are approximately 80 nucleotides in length. The record is from Rfam by way of RNAcentral. Lineage: Eukaryota; Metazoa; Chordata; Mammalia; Artiodactyla; Camelidae. RNAcentral also lists the same sequence under 2 other names.